This 524-nucleotide ribosomal RNA is filed under the name uncultured bacterium. Its description in RNAcentral is "partial 16S ribosomal RNA". It matches the Rfam family "Bacterial small subunit ribosomal RNA", at positions 355 to 895 of the family's 1533-position model. The record is from RNAcentral.
UGGGGAAUAUUGCACAAUGGGCGAAAGCCUGAUGCAGCAACGCCGCGUGAGUGAUGAAGGCCUUCGGGUUGUAAAGCUCUGUCUUUUGGGACGAUAAUGACGGUACCAAAGGAGGAAGCCACGGCUAACUACGUGCCAGCAGCCGCGGUAAUACGUAGGUGGCAAGCGUUGUCCGCAUUUACUGGGCGUAAAGGAUGCGUAGGCGGAUUUUUAAGUGAGAUGUGAAAACCCUAAGCUUAACUUGGGGACUGCAUUUCAUACUGGAAAUCUAGAGUGCGGGAGAGGAGAAUGGAAUUCCUAGUGUAGCGGUGAAAUGCGUAGAGAUUAGGAAGAACACCAGUGGCGAAGGCGAUUCUCUGGACCGUAACUGACGCUGAGGCAUGAAAGCGUGGGUAGCAAACAGGAUUAGAUACCCUGGUAGUCCACGCCGUAAACGAUGAGUACUAGGUGUAGGAGGUAUCGACCCCUUCUGUGCCGCAGUUAACACAAUAAGUACUCCGCCUGGGAAGUACGAUCGCAAGAUU